Molecule: transfer RNA, 73 nt
Filed under: Tannerella sp.
Lineage: Bacteria; Pseudomonadati; Bacteroidota; Bacteroidia; Bacteroidales; Tannerellaceae
Description: tRNA-Met
Source: RNAcentral
CGCGGGUUGGAGCAGUUGGCAGCUCGUUGGGUUCAUUGCCCAAAGGUCGCACGUUCGAGCCGUGCACCCGCAA